This is a long non-coding RNA of Taeniopygia guttata (zebra finch), 6599 nucleotides long. The record is from Ensembl. NCBI's taxonomy places the organism in Eukaryota, Metazoa, Chordata, Aves, Passeriformes, Estrildidae.
AGAUCACACCCUUUUUUUUUUUUUGCUAAAAAUGCAUAGUCAUUACAUAUACAGUAGUCAGCAUCCAAAAGUACAAAGAGUAAAUUUUCAAACCCUCCCAAUAGAACCACACAAAAAUCACACUUUUUGUUCAUUGCAUGCACAGCCCCUUAAAUGUGAUACCUCCUACUAAAGCGUGCUUGAACCUCUAGCGGACAGAAUUGACUUGCUAUAAACUGUUUCUCUGUACUAUUAACCCCCAGCUACAACCACAAAUCCUAAGGCAUUCCCAUGAAGUAGCGAAGCCCUACUUCAGAAUCCUCCAUGUUCUGAGUACAGCCCAGAAAGCAAUUGCCCUGAAAGCAGAAGUCUGCUGGUGGAGUUUCCUUCCAGGCAAUUUUAAGCAAAAGCCUGCUUCCUUUGUCUUGGUCAAUAAUUUAUUACUGAAUUCAGUGGAAUGAAGCAGCAUCUAUCUAAGCAAGAUGUGAAAAUUAUUUCACUUAAUUCCACACCCAGCUCCAAGACACUAAGUGUCUUGAAUGGAGGUCUGUGUCUUUCACUGCAUGUGACACUACCAUCCUGCAUCUUAUCUGAGGAGAAGAGAAUAAAGUUUCAGCUGUAACUUGGGUGUUGGUUAUAUAGCUCUGACUCAGAGGUGUCUAACAGAAUCUAGGAAUAUACUUGGAUAUAGGGAGAAUUUCUAAAGGUACAGGCCUUGACUAACAAAUCACUCAAACCCUUUGAUGUCGUCUUUUUUCCCCUCAUUUACUGCUGCCAGUUAGAAAAGCUCUUAAAAACAUGGUCCUCUUCUCAGUGGUGCUUUUUGUUAUCUGCCCUUCCAGUUGAUGGGCAGAGUGGGUUAGUAGAAUGAUUAUCCAUACUUGACAGAGUACAUAUACUUCUUGACAGAGUACAUAUAUGUGGUCGAAAGAUCCCAGUUCAGAUUUCACUCAACCAUAAGAUUAACUCCAUGUUGUUGGUUUUGCAGAACAGGAGGGAAAACAAAAAAGUUGUUUGAGCAAUAUAAUUUUAUAUUCUCAAAUGAUUACAUUUUUUUUUCUUAAAAGCUUCAUUUAUUUCAGGUCUUUUUACUCUGGUAAGAAGUUUGACGUAGUUCAAAAUUCCCAAUGGCAACUGAGAUAUAAUCAUAAUCUUGCAGACACUGAUGGGAAAUCCUGCUCCAUUGUUUCAUAGUAACUGGAACACAAUCCAUGGCUAAAUGAACAAGGAGGCCUCGUGGGUGUUACAAUGCUCCUCAGUACAAGUUACCAGUGAGAACUUCUGAAGAAAAGUGUACAUAAGUCAUGUAUGUUUUCUCUUUACUCCUGACCCUUAAGCAUUUAGUCAGCCUGUUUAAUACUGCCUGGGUCUUGAUUGGCCCCCACUUGAGAGUAUGGCAAUGACAAGGGUUUGUCCCAGGAGUUCACAAUCUGGAAACGUUCAUGUUCCUCUCCCUGUGAGAUGAGGAAAAAUACAACAUUCUCUCUGCUGGAGUUCAGUAGUAUUUCUUAGCACCUGGGAGGGUCUUUGCAUUUUUAAGUGCUUUACAAACAUUUGCUAGUCUUCAGAGCAACCCUGCGAGGUAGGUAAGGUAUAUUCUCCCCAUCUUACAGAUGUGGAAACUGAGACACAAAGGGUCAAAUUCAACCCUGGUACAAUUCCAGUGUUUCACAUGAAUUAAAAUUCAUUCAAAAUGAACACAGUUUAAACAACUUGCCCUAGAUUACAGAACAGAUAGUGGCAAAGCAAGGAUAAGAACCCAGGAGUGCCUGACUCCUCAGCUUGUUACUGGCCACUUGGUCAUUUUUACUCUCAUAGGCAAUGAAAAAACAGUUUAAUCUGGGCAAUUACUACACGUAUGACUUGCUUCUGUAAGGCAUGUGGAUGGUAAUCAACUGAGCUUAGUGCAAUAAUGCUCUAUGAAUGUGCUGCCUCAGAAUUUACUUAAACAUGAAGUAAAACUUUCAUACUAUCAUUUUCUGCAGGUGCACUGUUGACAAGAACCUGACACAGUAGCUGGAUUCAGCAAAUAAAUAAUAAGCAUAACACUUGGACAACUAAGCAGAAUUAUCAUUUUAGCAGAAAAACUGAACAUACUUCUACUUUUAACUGCUACAUUUCUACAAGUGCAGCAUGCAGAUGAAACCUUUCCCUUUGUUUCCAGACUAUAGAUUCCAGUCUUGCUAAUGAAGCUGCUCAGAGCUUCACAGAUAUCCUGGAUAGUGACAUUCAAAUGAACACACUGCAGAAAAAAUACUGUAUCACCACAGAGUACAGGGUAGUGAUUACAGAUGAGGUUUAUUGAUCUUACAGGAAGAUGAUAAGCUUGAAGCUCACAGGCUACUGGGAAGUGCCCAGAAGCCAGGCUUACUGAAUAUAUGCCAGUGUAGAUUGCAGUUCUAGGCAUGUGCUGAAUGCAAGGGGGGGUGUCUGUGCCACCAGCACUCUGGGAAGUGGCCCCAGCAACAGUCACUGCACUUCAGCACAGGCGUGUCAGUCUGGAGGUCAGUGCUGGCCAAACACAGACAGACACCCAGGCAUUUACAGGCCAGCCCCCUGUGCUCCAGUCCCCACCUUGGCUCCCACCCCUAUACAGAUUCUACUACAAAAGGCCUGAAAAGCCUUUUUGGUUUUUAACAUGAGCUGUGGAAUCCACAGCGUAGAUCUUAUGGCAGGUUAUAAAAACAUUAUGACAUGUACUUCUGCAAGCAAGUUAGUUUUCUAGGAUUUCCUUAUGCAUCUAGUCUGCAGGUUAGAGCUCUUGUCUGAGCUCUGGACAUGCUUACAUGCGUUCUUCAGUCAUGUACUUUCACACCAGAAAGUUAUCCUGCACCCUUACAAGUCACACAAAUGCUGACUCACUUCUAUGUGAGCAAAUUUAAGCACUAUAAUUAAAGAUAUCUUGUUCCAAUUUUAAUAUUUUUAUCUCAGCUUAGUUCUGUCCAUCAGACACGGCAAAUGGAACUAUUAUCUGCACACAUGUCCUUCACUGAAUAGACACAGACACUUAGGCACUCGGGUAACAUUUCCCUAGAUAUUCUCCACACUUACUGUACCUCUUUAAUUUGUAGUCACAUUUUUUAAACAAAAAACAGACAAACAAAAAUCCAUGAAUUAGAACUCUUACAUUCUAAUCACAUCUCCCUGUAGCCAUUCACUCUGGAUUCAGCAGCCUGCUUACAGUGGCUCAGACAGCAGUGCUUGCAACUAGCCUUUACAAAUAAUUCCAUGAGGUGCUCAGGCAUGGGCCUAAACAAUUCACCAACAGAAACUUCUGAAUGAAGCAAUAUUAUUAAUAUCAGAGCCAGGUACCUAAUCUUCAGUGUGACUGGGGCUCACAGGCAACUCUUGUAACAGCAGUAAGAUUCCAGCAGUAAGUAAAAUUGCAGUUGGUUGCAAUCCAAACUUCAUACUGUUAUCUGUCGUUGAGAUAUAUAUAGAUGACCCUGUGCGGCCUAACUCCAAAUAUCAAAUGUAUUUAUACAAGUUAGCAACAGCCAUUUUUGACAUUGCCUCUUGAGAUGUCCUUUACAUUGUGACUGACAAGCACAAAUAUAAUUCAUUAUACAGUAUGCUUUUAAAGCCUGGUCUUUUACAUUUGACUUUCACUGUUUGUUUCUGAGCUGCCUUCUAGUGCUGAGGCUUGAUGUCCCCAAGAUUUAUUUCUUAGUUUUUAAUUGCUAGUUGGAUGAGCUAGUGGCAUCUCCCAGGCAAACCCUUUCUACAUAAUUAGUUUGGAUGAGUCAUUGGGAUCUAACUACUAUGCCUCUAUUACUUUAACUUUAAUACAGCCCAUCUCAAAGAUUUUUGGCCUCUUUUUGCAGUUGUGGAAAUUCAUAGCAUGACAUGUUUGCAGGUCUUGAUCCACUGGCUUUCUAUUGUGAGUUUUCAGGGGUUUCACAAUAUUAAAGUACAUUUCAAGAAAUAACCUUGUUGUGAACCAGCCUCCUCUCCCAGUGGUGCAGAUUAUUUUCUGCUUUGUUGGCAGCUGAAGAAAGCAAUGUUAUGUUUAUGACAAAACUUAGUGAAAAUAGAUAAAAUUUAAAAUACUUAAUGUAGUUUUCAUUUUCUUUUCAUGCAGGUUGGCAAAUGAAAACUGAACACAGCCACUCACACAGGGCCAUGCAGUUUUUUUUAUGGCCCAACAGCAAUAACUCAAGAGCCCACAGCUUGGGAACUGCUACUUCAGAUAAUUAUAGUCUAUCUCCUUAAAAGACAUCUGACCCUUCCAGAAAUGACAUACCAGCAGAACUGUGGCUGGCAAAGAGUAUAUAUUUUUGUUAGUCCAUUUUCAUCAUUCACAAAGAAUCUAAAAUAUUAAAACCAUUAUACUUAAAAUGGGUUGAGAUAAAAGCUAAAUUGAGGGAGUGUAAUUUUCUUUUAGCUUAUGCACUUCAAUUGAGAAAUUUACAUGAAGUUGUUACAUUGGUAGAGGGCAUAUCUGUUAUUGGGUCUGUGAUGACUCUGACCCAUGUUAAGGAUUUGACUUUACAAUCCCUGGCUACAAUCUUUCAUAUAUUCCAAUUUUAAACAAAGGGGACUUCGUCUUACAGAAGAUUAGGACUGGACUCAAACAUUGUCUUGGAAUUCAGAUGCUAUGUCCAUGAAAAUGGGAGACUCAAGCAGAAACACUUCUACAAUAGGAGCUGAGUAAAACAGCUACUACACUAUUAUGCAGUCUGACACAAGGAUUUGCUAAGGAAGUACCGCCCUUCUUUUAACAAAGGGUUACACAAGUAAUUUCUCACCUGAACUUCGACUGGUAAGUCCCUUGUGUAACAUUAUUGCACUUGUUCUGUCAGACGAAAGCAAAAUUUAUCUGCUUAAAAUCUGCACAUGGUUUACAAAAAUGUAUCUAGAGAGUAAACUCAAACUACAUUUAGCUCUUUGUUGUUUGACAAGAAUAAUACAUGGGUUGCUCUGAAAAGAUACUACUUUGGAAAACACCUCCUAAUUCUUGUCUUUGAACUCCCCCAAAGCUUCUGAAAGAGGACUUCAACUUCCAGCUGAACCACAAGUAAUCAGAAUAGAAAAAAGUGGGGAAUGACAAAAAAGUGCCAGUAUCCAGUACUUGUAGAGCCAGAUUUUAGGUGCUGAGCUCAGAUUCAGCAGUAUUGUAUUCUGCCACUAAUUUUAGGAUAGUAAAUAUGACAGUGGUCUAAUUAAAUAGCAGUAGAAAUUAGUUCCAUGUAGUUUUUUAAAAGAUCCAGAAUGAGAUCUCAUGCAUCAGUUCCUCUUUACAUCCACAGAACUCCCACCGAGCUUGGCAGGGGUUUAUAGAAAGUCUGGCAUCUGACUUUGACUCGAGAAGACUGGUUUGGGGGUGAUUUACCCAGAAAGAUAAAGGGGCCCCUUAGCAACUCCCUCAGCACAACAGAUGUUCCUGACAGGCUGAGGGAAGAGCCAUUCCAUUAUGCAAUGUCCUUCUUCUUCCUCUGCCCCCAUUCCAAACCAGUUUGACCCCUUUCUGGUUUGAUUACUUUACAUAUCCUUCUAUUUUAUUUUAGUAUCUGAGUGGCUACACCAACUACACACUGACUAAUUAAAGUCGCUCCAUUAACUGGUAAUUCUGUAAUCAUUCACAGCUGUUUUUCCUCUCUCUCCUAAAUCUAUUGUUCCCUGGCUGAAAAGGCUGCAAGAGCUUAGAAACUAUAGAUAGCUAUCGAUUUGCUUGCAUUUAAAAUCCAGUAUGUGGCUGCAAAGGCCUGUUACAAUAUCAGAGAGGAAGAUAAAUGUCAGUGCAUAAUCUGCUAGGAAAUUUCACAUAGGAGUUGAUUAAAAGUCUAUGAGAAAUCAUUGCACAAAUGUCUUCAGGUGUAUACAUAUAUAUACACAUAUAUGUAGCUAAUAAAUAUAUAGCUAGAUAUAUAAAUAUAUAUAUAUAUACACACAAAGCUAGUUUAGACCUAAUUGUUAUGAAAUUAGUAAGUGGCAUUCACCAUUCAUGCAUUCUUCCUAGUAGCAGAGCUAAAUUAUUUCAGCUUAUACUCCAAGCAGCAACAUACCAGUAAGCAUUUGCUUGCUUCCCCUGGUAACCUAGUAGUUUAAAGAGCACGAGCAGUUCUGCCAUGGUCAUUUUCUCCAUCGAACCUCCAUGAAAAGGACCUCUUCCACAGGUGGGUUUCCCUCAGGUUUCACAGCUUCUUCAGGACAUGGUGGGUCUGGUCUGAGGGUCACCAGUCUGAAGGUCAUCGGCCCAAGCACCUCCAGGCCAAGGGUCCCUGGCACUGGUGGUCGCUGUCCCGAGGGUCGCCGGCCUGGUCAGUCCUGCUUGCAGAUGUCUGCAACGUUGAGGAACCUCCUGACGACCACAGCGAGGCAGACGGUCAGGAGCAGCAUGUACCCCACGGUGCCUAGGUAGGUGGGGGCAGCCAGGGGUGCCUUGAGAAACUCAGCCAGCCCAUCCUCCACAUAGUGCACCUGGUCGUAGAUGCUGAGGAAGGUGAAGAUGUGGAAAAGCUGAUGGCUGUGCCCCACGAUGUCGAAGAGCCCCGGCUGGAUCCGCUCGGGGAUUUUGCUGACGUUGAAGAAGGCGGCCACCAGCAGCCAGAAGUAGCGGCGGUAGAAGUAGACGAAGAGCGUGGGGUUGCGAGCGCGGAGGUCGAAGAGGAGGCUCUCCA